CUCUGGAUCCUUGUCCUGUCUCCCCUUUACCUGGCUGAGGUUUAGGAAAACACUUUGAUGUAAAAUGCGUGGUACCAUGGACUCCCCAGGUGGACAUUCUGUUAUCAGGAGGAUUCAUGUGACAAAUAUUUUUAACAACAUCUACCAAAUUGUGAAGUAGAAAAUAUACACGACAGUUUUCUCCUCCUGGGACUUAAAAUAAGCUGAACAGACAGGACUUUCAACAGAAAGGGAAAAAAGACACCAUGGGACACACGCCAAAUUCCUGGUGAGUCCUGGGUACUCAGGAAAGGCUUCCUGGAGCAGAAGGUGAGACCUGGCAGGAGAGGGAGAGCUGUCACAUGUGAGCACAGUACCAGGUGGGGUGCCUGAGGCUGGGGUCCACACCCUCAAGAACUGAGUGUAGGUAGGUAACACCUGGGAGCCGGUCCAGCUAUACCACACCCUCACUGUGGUGAGAGCACAUAGGCAGGUGCUCAUCUGCCUGAAACCUGGGUGAAGCCCUCCGCUUCCUCCUCUCCUCACCCUCCCAGCCAGGAAAGGAGAUUCCAGGAUGCUCAUCAUGGUUCAGAAUGUUCCAGGCUCCUACCAGCAGCAGAAUGUGCCAAAGAAGACAAGCAGUGUGACAUGGCAGCGACAUUUUAGGAGAGUAACUCGCAAAAGUGGCUAGGCGUGGUGGGACCUGCCCAACGUCCUCACUCCAGGACCACUGAGGAGAAACUACUGAAAUCCAACGGGAAGAACAAUUAUACCAAAGGAACAUUUUAUGAUUAAGAUUCGCUCUCACCAAGUGCACCGGAUGUUAAGCAAACUCACUGAGGACAGACAGCACCUGCUCUGUCAUAAAGACGGGUCGAGCAUGGAUUCCAACCAUCCUGCUGGAGCCCAGGCCUCAAGAAACCCCAGAGGUCAUUACUGGUCUCUGUCCACCUGCCGGCUCCAGACUCCUCCGAGGGCACCGGACGAGCAAGGUCAGAGCAGAAAGUCUACGGAUUUCCGUCCUCUCCUCAUCCAGCGGCAGCACCCCCUCCUCCGCCCCGCAACUGUCUCGCAAGUGGGUCCCCGCGCUGGUCGCAGCCUAGUCUCGGGGGCUUCGGAAGGACGGGCCCGGCCCUGGGUCUUCCUCCCCGCGCUCCUCCCCUCCUCACCUUCUCGGGUCUGAAGCCGGCGGGCGGGGGGCGCAGUCCUGGACUACGCCAGUCCAUGCUGGUGGCUGCGCGUCUGUCCAGGUCCCGAUGGGGCGGGGGACCGAGGACCGCCCCCGGGGCGCCGGGUCAGUUCUCCGCACGAGGGUCGGGGACACUGAGGAUCGAUCGCGGCUGCGGCGAGGGGACCGAGGAACUGGCCGCCGCCCUUUCACCAGAUGCUGUUUGCAGAUGUGGCGGCGUCUGCAGACUUGAACCACAAGUAAAGUUCUCUGAGCCAGAGCUUGGCGCGGUGCCCUGACGGGCGGGGCGAGGGAAUCAGGACCCGCAGGCACUGCGCCAAGGCCGCCAGGCGAUGCGCCCGCGCUCGGGGACACUGUGGUCGCCAGGUGGGAUCCGUGCCGGGAACAGCCUUAGGGAGAAGGAGGGGACUCCGCCUGGGGGAGCAAGGAGAGGGCGUUCUCUGCACCACCAGGAAAUGCGGGUGACGCUCAAGUUCCUUCCUGCUGCAACUCCGAAGGAUGCGGUGACGCACAGAUUCCUCUCUGCUGCCAACUCCAGGGGACCUUGGAGACCGGGGUCUGGAGGAGGGGCAGACAAAGGACUCACAGAGCCACCUUCCCGUCCCCCCUGCCUUAUAUCCACUAUCUCUACCCCAACCAGGUGUGUCCACUCCCACUCUUCUGACACCCCCAGGCUUCCUCACCCUACCCCCUUCCCUACUCUGUCUCCGCCCAGUCUUCUUCAUACACAAACAUACACAUUCCUCCUCCAUGGGUGUUUUGGGACCCCCACUCCCAACCUUGUGCCUGCAAGGAGGAGUUUAUCCAUGCGCCCUUUGUAGGCUGGAGAGGCCAAAGAGAGUGUAAUUGUGUCUUUGGUCAGAGACUCCAGGCUGAGUCUCUGAGAAGCGGAAACUGAGGAGUUGAAACCAG
This 2080-nucleotide long non-coding RNA is filed under the name Equus asinus (donkey). RNAcentral describes it as "lncRNA (ENSEASG00005028383.1)". Lineage: Eukaryota; Metazoa; Chordata; Mammalia; Perissodactyla; Equidae. The record is from RNAcentral.